UACUCGAUAGGCCUUUCGUCCUUGCCUU
Molecule: non-coding RNA, 28 nt
Filed under: Bombyx mori (domestic silkworm)
Lineage: Eukaryota; Metazoa; Arthropoda; Insecta; Lepidoptera; Bombycidae
Source: RNAcentral